This 240-nucleotide unclassified non-coding RNA is filed under the name soil metagenome. RNAcentral describes it as "partial contains 5.8S ribosomal RNA, internal transcribed spacer 2, and large subunit ribosomal RNA". The record is from RNAcentral.
AACGGUCUAUACCUGCGGUACCUGCGGAGGGAUCAUUAAUGAGAAACUGCCCCUCGCGGGUAGAUCUCCCACCCUUUGUAAACUUACCUUUGUUGCUUUGGCAGGCCCGUCUCCGGACCGCCGGCUUCGGCUGGCCAGUGCCUGCCAGAGGAUUCUAAAACUCUGUCUGUCAGUGUUGUCUGAGUCUAUAUACAAUCGUUAAAACUUUUAACAAUGGAUCUCUAGAUCGGAAGAGCACAC